UGAAGUUCUGCUUAAUGUAGAGGCUUUAUUAAAAUACGGCAAAGAGAAUCCAGAACAACGCACAUAGUAGACAAGCGCUUUCCUGCGGAGCCCUGUAUUGAAGCCCUGCUACUAUUUCUGGCUCUGCAAUCAUUUGAAGCGGAUAUUAACAGUCUUUCCUGCAAUAGUGGCCACGUUAGCUGACAUUAUUCCCAGAAGUCUAUAACUUGCACCAUUGAUUUCCUGCAAGACAGAGAAGCCCAGGUCCUCUGUGGAAGACAGCUUUGUGAAGGGACAGCAGAACACUUACACGUCUUUACCAUCAUGAAUUCUCAAAGCAGACUAUCAGUGGGAAGAUCAUGUCUCUGUUAAUGGAUAAUUAAAAAAAAUGGUUACAACUGG
Cricetulus griseus (Chinese hamster) is the source of this 381-nucleotide non-coding RNA. The record is from RefSeq and is a predicted model, not a curated record. NCBI's taxonomy places the organism in Eukaryota, Metazoa, Chordata, Mammalia, Rodentia, Cricetidae.